UAGGGAAUCUUCCACAAUGGACGCAAGUCUGAUGGAGCAACGCCGCGUGAGUGAAGAAGGUUUUCGGAUCGUAAAGCUCUGUUGUUGGUGAAGAAGGAUAGAGGCAGUAACUGGUCUUUAUUGACGGUAAUCAACCAGAAAGUCACGGCUAACUACGUGCCAC
Molecule: ribosomal RNA, 163 nt
Filed under: uncultured bacterium
Lineage: Bacteria
Description: partial 16S rRNA
Rfam family: Bacterial small subunit ribosomal RNA
Source: RNAcentral